RNAcentral lists this long non-coding RNA (1958 nucleotides) under Trifolium pratense (red clover). RNAcentral describes it as "long non-coding RNA (TPRA_LNC009127)". Lineage: Eukaryota; Viridiplantae; Streptophyta; Magnoliopsida; Fabales; Fabaceae. The record is from RNAcentral.
GCUAAAUUGACACCCAUUCAAUCAAUUUAAAAAUCAAGUUAACUCGCAAUAACGUAAAAGUAAAAAAGAGAGUAUAUAACUUGGGGGAACUAGGUCAAAACCCAAGUGAGAACUAAAACAAAUUAUUACUGCCUCAUUAAAAACCUUAAUAGUAAAACCUCAAAGGAUAAACCAGAUGAAGGAAAAAAGAGUACAGUGUUCCAAACAAAACUAACAAAAUCUAGGAAGAUAAUAUAUUCCUAGAAUAAACAUUACAAAUAUUAGUGAGGAUAAUAUCCCACCAUCGAUAAUCAAGGAUGUCCCCAUAUUUGCCUGCAUAUAAUUCAUUAAAGAGAAAAUAAGUAGAAAACUUGGGGUGAGAUAAGUUUCAAAUCACUUCAAGUGGUAUAACAAUUUCAAUGGAUUGAAAUAAAUACACAAAAGUAAAUUUGAAAAAUCAAACCAUGUAAGGUGUGUACAUAUAAUUGUACAAAAUAUGUAUAUCAAAUGCAAUGUUCGUGCAUCUCUACUACUUUUGCAUGUUAUAUCGAUGAUUCAAACUCAAUAAAUUAAACUAUGAGCACAUGGUAACUAAAAGAAGAACAACACACUUUUAGGUCAAUUUUAAGUACAUCGUACACAUUCACUACAAUGACAUUGUUAGGUGGCUAAUUAGGGUCCUUCAUCAUUGCAUGUUAAACAAUUUUUGUAUGAUGUAUGUUUCACAAAAAAAAAUAAUAUAUACAAACAAAUAUCAUCCUGGAAUCUGAUAACAAAUGAAUACCAUCGUCACCUUUCACAAGUUAGGUACGUUAUAAACAAAGUAUCACUAUAGCACCAUCCCUAACUCACUUGAACAUGGUGACUAGUCUCGAUAAUGUUUAUGAUGAAACUAUACACAACACAUAUAUCCUCAAGGAAAACCUUUUAAUUACAUCACAUCGGUGAAUCAAUUCUUUUACUAACAAUACUAAAAUUUUAAUUCUGGUUAAAAUAUCAAGUACCUAUGCCAUUUAUUUUUCUCUCUCAUUCCUAUAUAUUAAUCCUUGAAUUAUUGAAUAUAAAACUAUGAAAUAGUUAUUAACAAUAAGCAUACGCCUAAUUGGAUUUAGUAAUUAUCAACCCGUGGCAUUGUUAGUACAUCAUUUUAUUAUAAUUAAAUUAAUAAAAAUUUAAUAAUGUUUAUAUGAAAUAAAAGAAAGUGCAGGAUUAUAUCUGAAAUAUUAUACUUCUAACAAAACAAAUUAAUGAAAAUAGUUUAAAAUUUUAACUUGCUUCCACUCCUUUGGCAGUUAACCAAGAUCCUCAAGAUAACACAAACUCAAUCAUUUUCUCUCCUCUUUUGAACUCUAUAACUCAAUUAUAAUCUUCUUAGAUUAUAAAUCAAGCACAUAGAUCAAAUUUAUCUUUAAAAAUCUCUUCGUCGUUAAUUCCCCAACAAACAAUAUUGUUUAAAUAUGCUUCUUCAUUGUAUCACACUUCCAAUCAUUUAUAUAUAUAUAUAUAUAUAUAUAUAUAUAUAUGAAAGUAUAAGAGAAAUUAUAAGAGUGACAACAAUAUGAUAAGCAAAGAAAAUGGAAGGUCAAAAUAGAGAAAUAAGAUUUACUCUAUCAGGCUUAUACAAUAACCUCCAGAGCACCUCAACGAUCCAAGAGGCUCACUUGGAUCUAAUUUAUAGCAGUCGUAGUCGGUAUCACACUUUGCUGUAAUGUACAAUAAGGUAUAAGGAAAUAUUACUAAUAAAUGGGUGAAAGGUUGUGUAUAAAAUAAACAAAAAAUAUUAAGAGAAUGAACUUACUUUGACCAACGACUACAUUGAUAAAAAGGGAAACAAAAAGGAUCAAAAUAUAAACAAACUUGAGAGUUUGAACCAUUUUUUUCACCUUUGCAUGUAAAAAAUAUAAAAUGGUUUAGGUACUUUAUAUAGUCAAAAUCUCUUGCUAUGUUUACAUCAUUUUUAAUGAUAAUGUUGUUACAAU